Molecule: unclassified non-coding RNA, 80 nt
Filed under: Erysiphe diffusa
Lineage: Eukaryota; Fungi; Ascomycota; Leotiomycetes; Helotiales; Erysiphaceae
Description: internal transcibed spacer 2
Source: RNAcentral
GUUGGGGCUCGUCGCGAUGCGGCGGCCCUUAAAGACAGUGGCGGUUCCGACGUGGGCUCUACGCGUAGUAACUUGCUUCU